GCAAGGCAACGGGCUUCGAGCUCGACUCUCCCACCCUUUGUGAACGUACCUCUGUUGCUUUGGCGGCUCCGGCCGCCAAAGGACCUCCAAACUCCAGUCAGUAAACGCAGACGUCUGAUAAACAAGUUAAUAAACUAAAACUUUCAACAACGGAUCUCUUGGUUCUGGCAUCGAUGAAGAACGCAGCGAAAUGCGAUAAGUAAUGUGAAUUGCAGAAUUCAGUGAAUCAUCGAAUCUUUGAACGCACAUUGCGCCCCUUGGUAUUCCGGGGGGCAUGCCUGUUCGAGCGUCAUUACAACCCUCAAGCUCUGCUUGGAAUUGGGCACCGUCCUCACUGCGGACGCGCCUCAAAGACCUCGGCGGUGGCUGUUCAGCCCUCAAGCGUAGUAGAAUACACCUCGCUUUGGAGUGGUUGGCGUCGCCCGCCGGACGAACCUUCUGAACUUUUCUCAAGGUUGACCUCGGAUCAGGUAGGGAUACCCGCUGAACUUAAGCAUAUCAAUAAGCGGAGGAAACAGUCUUCUACACAAC
Molecule: ribosomal RNA, 531 nt
Filed under: Lasiodiplodia theobromae
Lineage: Eukaryota; Fungi; Ascomycota; Dothideomycetes; Botryosphaeriales; Botryosphaeriaceae
Description: eukaryotic LSU rRNA
Rfam family: 5.8S ribosomal RNA (bases 139-292)
Source: RNAcentral